Molecule: ribosomal RNA, 492 nt
Filed under: uncultured bacterium
Lineage: Bacteria
Description: partial 16S ribosomal RNA
Rfam family: Bacterial small subunit ribosomal RNA
Source: RNAcentral
AUUGAACGCUGGCGGUAUGCUUUACACAUGCAAGUCGAACGGUAACAGGCCUUCGGGUGUUGACGAGUGGCGAACGGGUGAGUAACGCAUCGGUAAGUGCCCAGCGGCGGGGGAUAACGCAGCGAAAGCUGUGCUAAUACCGCAAGUGAACUGUGGAUGAAAUCGGGGGAGCAAGCAGCAAUGUUUGGCCUCGCGGCUGUGGUGCGGCCGAGGCCGGAUUAGGGAGUUGGUGGGGAUAAGGCAUACAGAGCCGACGAUCCGUACCUGGUCUGAGAGGACGAGCAGCCAGACGAGGACUGAGAGACGCCUCAGACUCGAAAGACAGGCAACAGUGGGGAAUUAUGGACAAGGGGGGAAUACUUGAUCCUGCAAUGCCGCGUGCGGGAAGAAGGCCUUGUGGUUGAUGACCGCUUUUGGGCGGUACGAAAAUGUUCAGUCUAAUACCGGUGUUUGAUGACGGUACCGGAAGAAGAAGCACCGGCUAACUACGUG